Triticum aestivum (bread wheat) is the source of this 124-nucleotide non-coding RNA. The record is from Rfam. Lineage: Eukaryota; Viridiplantae; Streptophyta; Magnoliopsida; Poales; Poaceae.
GAUGUACUCCCUUCGUCUGAAAAUACUUGUCCUACACAUGAAUAAAAUGGAUGUAUCUAUAACUAAAAUAAGUCUAGAUAUAACCAUUUUGUGGACAAGUAUUUCCGGACGGAGGGAGUACAAU